GACGAACGCUGGCGGCGUGCUUAACACAUGCAAGUCGAACGAUGAACCCGGAGCUUGCUCCGGCGGAUUAGUGGCGAACGGGUGAGUAACACGUGAGUAACCUGCCCUUGACUCUGGGAUAGCUGCUAGAAAUGGUAGCUAAUACCGGAUACGACCCUCGGUGGCAUCACCAGGGGGUGGAAAGAAUUUCGGUCAAGGAUGGACUCGCGGCCUAUCAGCUAGUUGGUGAGGUAACGGCUCACCAAGGCGACGACGGGUAGCCGGCCUGAGAGGGUGACCGGCCACACUGGGACUGAGACACGGCCCAGACUCCUACGGGAGGCAGCAGUGGGAAAUAUUGCACAAUGGGCGCAAGCCUGAUGCAGCAACGCCGCGUGAGGGAUGACGGCCUUCGGGUUGUAAACCUCUUUUAGUAGGGAAGAAGCGAAAGUGACGGUACCUGCAGAAAAAGCACCGGCUAACUACGUGCCAGCCGCCGCGGUAA
RNAcentral lists this ribosomal RNA (484 nucleotides) under uncultured bacterium. RNAcentral's name for it is "partial 16S ribosomal RNA". It matches the Rfam family "Bacterial small subunit ribosomal RNA", at positions 28 to 523 of the family's 1533-position model. The record is from RNAcentral.